CCUACGGGAGGCAGCAGUGGGGGAUAUUGCACAAUGGGGGAAACCCUGAUGCAGCGACGCCGCGUGGGCGAAGAAGUAUUUCGGUAUGUAAAGCCCUAUCAGCAGGGAAGAAGAAAUGACGGUACCUGAGUAAGAAGCACCGGCUAAAUACGUGCCAGCAGCCGCGGUAAAACGUAUGGUGCAAGCGUUAUCCGGAUUUACUGGGUGUAAAGGGAGCGCAGGCGGCACGGCAAGCCUGAUGUGAAAGCCCGCGGCCCAACCGCGGGACUGCAUUGGGAACUACCGGGCUGGAGUGCCGGAGAGGUAGGCGGAAUUCCUAGUGUAGCGGUGAAAUGCGUAGAUAUUAGGAGGAACACCAGUGGCGAAGGCGGCUUACUGGACUGUAACUGACGUUGAGGCUCGAAAGCGUGGGGAGCAAACAGGAUUAGAUACCCCAGUAGUC
Molecule: ribosomal RNA, 442 nt
Filed under: uncultured bacterium
Lineage: Bacteria
Description: partial 16S ribosomal RNA
Rfam family: Bacterial small subunit ribosomal RNA
Source: RNAcentral